Leopardus geoffroyi (Geoffroy's cat) is the source of this 442-nucleotide long non-coding RNA. RefSeq lists it as uncharacterized. Lineage: Eukaryota; Metazoa; Chordata; Mammalia; Carnivora; Felidae. The transcript has 2 exons. The record is from RefSeq and is a predicted model, not a curated record.
CCUACUUGGCAUUUUUAUGGAGAUGUUGACAUCUUUAUGACGCUGAGCGACCUUGUUCAGGAACAAGAGGUUUCUGUCAUGUCCCGCAGUGAUGGCUUCAAAAGAAGGUGAAAGAGAGAGACCUAAGGCCCUCCACCAGAGGCUCCAACUCCCUAAUGUCCUUCUUUGGAUAAUUUCAUUCAACAAGUUGCAAAUUCACCUGGCCAUCUUCUCAUUCGGCCUAUUUUCUCAUCUCGUACGAGCACUUUAACACGCCAGGGCUCUGACCUCCCGGACACGGUAAGAACUCUGGCUAGUAACAGACUUACCGCAUCCCAACUUGUUUUGCCAUAAAGCCCCAAGCAGCCUAAACCCCUUCCUUGAGCUGGAGAAGGAAGACAUCAGCUGAAACAGGAGGCUGCAUUCCUGCUGCUUAAUUAGCACGUCACGCACUUCAAAACGC